GCCUGUCAGGGGACACAAGGCAUGGGCAAAGCAUGCUGCAUCCCUGUGGGCUUAGGGCACGGGCAGGAAGACCCUACUCACAGUGUCCUCAGAUGAGGGACAGUGGGAAACAGAAGGUGGGUGGCUUACACAGCUCCAUUCCUUCUCCCCACAACUCAGGAGGGGAUCACUUCCCAGUAGAGGUCCCAAGCUUACUGGCACAGAAAAAUGACACAAAAGAAUGACAUUUCUAGCCAAGCUGAGGAUGCCUGGCUAGCUUGGAAGUGACACCUGGGCUGUAGUCACCUCAAAGGGAUGUUGACCUUACAGCCAAGGCAGGAGACUGAACUCAACUCAGAGCCAAUCCAUGGCUUCAUGUCUAGUCUGAUCCACUGCUGCCCAGGAAAAGAGGGGAAAGCAUCUGGAAAGGCUCUUGACCCAGGCCAGGCCAAAAUGACUGUGCUGUUGAUGAGCCCUGGGAUGCAGAAAAUACCCACAGCAGAGCACAGGCUGUCCUAUGCCCUGGGCUGAGGCACAGUGUCUUCUCCCCUCUCCAGGCUAGCCAGAGGAAACUCCCUAACAGGAACCAUUUCCAACCGUUCCCUGCAGAAGGGAAGGGGAGUAGCAAAAUACCAGGCACUGUUUCUGGGAAGCCACAAAUUGCUCCUGUCUGGCUGGCUGCUGUCCUUAAGAGAUACCACCCAGAGCAGACUACACAUGAUUCUGCCCUGCAUCAAAACCCAGCCUGGCGCUCCUGGGCUUCAGAUGCUUUGGACCCAUGUGAGGUCCCAGUGAGGUGGUGGGUGCACUCACAUAGGGGAGCAGAGUGUGUGGGAACACUGCAUCGCUGCCUGCUGACAUUACAGAGUGGAACACAAAACUUUUUCCACAUGGCUGGGAGGCUCAAAUUUUUGUAACACAUUUUCAUUGGUUUCUGGCAGAAAGGAUCUAUUGACCGCUGCUCCUAAUGAACCGUGCUCGUUACAGCCACAGCCCACUGCUAGAGGACUUGCUGUCCUGUUCAACACCACCCCCAAAAGCCACAUGCGCCGAAGAAGUACAUGCACAACCACAGCACAACCCUGCUAAACAGCCCUCUUGAUUAUUAUCAUGAUCAUUAUUAUUUACAGCAUAGGUACUAACAUAAUACACCACUUAAGCAGGAAGGUGUUGGAGAAAGACUUAAUGGGGAUCUCAGUUAAACCUCUAGCACAGGAACAAUACAAAUGUCACUCGUGGAGACUUUGAGAAUUUGUCCUGUCCUACCUCUGCCCCAAACUCGUCCAUCUCUGUUCAGAGAUGCUCAUUGCAUGUGGGGCUUAUACAGGAAUUCCGUUCUUAGGUACCUGGCUAGAAAAAGCCCUGAGUAUUUUCCCCAGCUGCCUUUCCCAUUUGUUGCCCACUCCGGAGGAGGGGACAUGCUCGACCUACAUCAAAACUUCCUGUUACUGGCAGGCAAAUUUGUCCCUGACCGGCACUUGCACCUGUGGCCAUGAUGAGAAAACAAAAAUGCCUCCUUCCUGGUCAGCACACAGAGACAGCCACUGUUGUUUGCAUUCUCAAGAUGCAGGCAGGGAAGGGAUAAUGCAGGCAGGGAAGAGAUGCAAAGAGAGAAGAGUCAUCUCAUCUUGCACCCUUUGGCAGCUGGAGAGUACAACUGAGCAAAAGCAUUCCUGAGCUCCCCAGAGGCCACCAGACUCAGCCCAGGCAGAAGCCCAGGAGCCUUCACCCGCCUAAUGAAGAACAGCUCGUACAUUCCUGUCCCAGGCGCAGCCCCCAGCGUGGUGGUGACCGACCCCCAGCCCUGCUGGGGUGGUCAGCGGAGCGGCCCAGGCGCUGUGCCUGUGCUGGGGUCACUGCUGAGACCACCGCCCUGGUGAGGUCAGGCAGUGAGCUCAGGCAGCCGCCCAGCCCCAGGCCAUCUGGCACCCACUGGAGGCGGAGCAGCCAGGGCUGAGGAUGGAGGCUCCAGCCAGUUCCUCCACUAGCCCAGGGUGUUGUCUGCUGGAGAGCCAGCUGCAAUGUGCCUUGGACUUUGAACGAACUUUUGUGCUUUGGUGGGGUCUUGGCAUCAAGCCGGUGCAGUUCGUCUGGCAGGGACUGGUGAGGGAGCAUGCUGGUAAUGCUUGCAGGUGAUGAGAGGCUCAAAGGAGACACCACACACCAAGAAGGACAGAAUAACAACAGCCCUGCUGGGACUGACACCCCACCUCUCACAAGUCUCAGCAACGUGCAACAGACACUUAAAUCAAUGUCACAUAACACCCAAAUGCUAACACUGAGGUGUUCUGGAUGGCCAAACUCCAUGUGUAAGUCAUUGCAGAGACGCUGCACCCUCCAAAUUGUGACCAGCCCCAUCAUCUGGCUUGGGUUAUGAUUUUAGGGUGGAAUGAAAGUCCAGUCUCCUCUCCUGUGACUCCAGUGAUCACACUUAGUCCUCUAAAGGUCUGAAGUUAAGAAAGUUAACUCCCACCACCUCUUCAGUCUUGGUCCCCUUGAAACCUGUGAUGUUCCCAUGAGCCAAGCUGUUUUACAGACACAGGAGCAGUAGUAAGAAAACACAGACCCUAUUUCAUUUCCUGGGAAUUAGGAACUUCAAUAGCUGCCAAAGGCAGCAGAACACUUGUGAUUUGCAGAGUGUGGAAGGAAGUCCUUAGCAGUCAAAGCAGUGCUCCCAGAAACACCCACUCUGCCCCACCAUUCCCAGUCACCUACCAAAGACAGAUGAUGAGAAUCCAAUCAGUCCAUGGCUCAAAAGCCACACAAGCUUUUGGAAGAGGGGCUCCAGGGUAUUCCAGUAUCUUAUACCCCUGUGACAACAUGGUGGAAGUUGAUGAGACCUCACUCCCUUGUUCCACUGAGACACCUUUUAAGGGAAGGAUAUGGAUCAGUAAGGCCAAGCUCAGAGAAGAGAUGGAAAAGCAUUCAGAGAGUUGGCUUGGAAGGCUAGGACUGAUCUCCAUUUCAUUAAGCCAAGAGCCAGGAGGAUGCUUGGGAACAGCUCAAGAAUACCUGAAGAGCCUCAGAGAACAAGCACUGAUGGCAGAGGGGUGUGCUAUUCCAUGGCUUUUUUUUUUUUUAAGUAAUUGUUUGGGCUUUGCUGAACUAGCCUGGAAGACCAGCUCCUUCUCAGGUGAUUAAUGUCUCCUCAGCAGAAACCUGUGGAUACAGAUUCUGCUGUAUCAGCCAGGGCUCACCUGCAGAGCGUGAAUAUCAGGUGCUUGGGCUGCCCCCAGGUUCACACAGGAUUCAUGGGAAAGGGAGAUCAUAAUCCUGAUGACCUCUGUGUCCUCAUAGAGAGCUGGAUGGGGGAGAAAUGCAGCUCAGCAUGUGGGAAAGGAGCUCUCAAGGGAACCAGCUCAUGUUUUGGUCUGCUCUGGAAGUGCAGGACCUAUCUGUAGGAGUGGAUCUCUGGGUCAGCACGACUUCGCAGUGCCAGCAAAUGCCACGGAGGUGGGAGAGUCACAAAAUAAAACUCUCUGGAAGUAACUGUA
Molecule: long non-coding RNA, 3473 nt
Organism: Passer domesticus (house sparrow)
Lineage: Eukaryota; Metazoa; Chordata; Aves; Passeriformes; Passeridae
Exons: 2
Source: RefSeq, a predicted model, not a curated record